RNAcentral lists this ribosomal RNA (253 nucleotides) under uncultured bacterium. RNAcentral's name for it is "partial 16S ribosomal RNA". It matches the Rfam family "Archaeal small subunit ribosomal RNA", at positions 474 to 727 of the family's 1478-position model. The record is from RNAcentral.
UACCAGCACCCCGAGUGGUCGGGACGAUUAUUGGGCCUAAAGCAUCCGUAGCCGGUUUUACAAGUCCUCCGUUAAAUCCAGCUGCUUAACAGAUGGGCUGCGGAGGAUACUAUAAGACUAGGAGGCAGGAGAGGCAAGCGGUAUUCAGUGGGUAGGGGUAAAAUCCGUUGAUCCAUUGAAGACCACCAGUGGCGAAGGCGGCUUGCCAGAAUGCGCUCGACGGUGAGGGAUGAAAGCUGGGGGAGCAAGCCGG